This 1912-nucleotide unclassified non-coding RNA is filed under the name Camponotus floridanus (Florida carpenter ant). RNAcentral describes it as "prolactin regulatory element-binding protein, transcript variant X1". The record is from RNAcentral. Lineage: Eukaryota; Metazoa; Arthropoda; Insecta; Hymenoptera; Formicidae.
CGAAAUCUGUUGUUGGGCAAUUCAAUUACUCCGCCAGUUUAAAAGGACAUACGUGUGCCUCGUAAAAUUCCCGUAUUGCCACUUGGUGAGUGCACGCGAGCUGCGUGCCUCGUUAUAGAUCGUUCGUACGAGACGAUGAUACGUGGACGUGACACGUGUAGAUGUGAUACUGGACGGUGCUGAUUCUUCCAUCUCUCUCUGCUCUUCAGAUUUAUCGUCCUCGGUGAGGACGAAACGUGCAACUGGACGACGAGAAUCUGCAGCAUCAUGUCUUCUAGAAGAAGCAAAGGCGGUCUCCUGGCUAGGGUGAAUUUUCCUCUCUAUACCGUGCAAAUGAUAACCAACAGGCACAUCCUGGUAGGAGGCGGAGGCGGUUCCUCCAAGACCGGAGUUGCUAAUGGAUUUGAAAUUUUUGAAUUAUCGCACAAUGGGACAUAUUUUGUUGCCGAAGAAGUAACUAGGCACGAAACAGGUCCCAACGUCGUCAUGAAUUGUGCUUCGUAUAGGAGUAAAAGUAAGACAUGGAUUGUUGCUGGUCAGGAAAGUCACUGUCAAUUGUAUAAUUCUAAGUUAAUUUCGGAGAAUGAAGAAUUCAUCAAAGGACCAACAGCGCAUAAUCUUAGAUGCAGAAAAAAUAGCGAAAAAGCUAAAGAAUCUCAAUUACAGCAGGAGAAGAUAGAGGAAAUUAAAAACAACAAUUUCAAGAGCAAGAAAUUGCAAUUAGUCCUGGAACCUGCCGACAGCAUACAAACAACUUUUGGGAAUGAAGAACCUUUACAAAGAGUUGUUAGAGUGAGCCCUUGCGGAAGUAUUAUGGCUACAGGUGGCACAGAUGGUAAAGUUAGAUUAUGGAAAUUUCCACAACUGGAGAAGCUGUACGAUUUUGAUGGACAUGGGGACGAUUAUAUAGAUGAUAUAGAUUUCAAUCCAAAUGGCAGUCUCUUAGUGAGCAUCGCCAAAGGAAAGGCCUUUGUGUGGGACAUAAAAAGCAAAAAGAGCACAGAACUUAGUUGGAAGCCACCGGAUGGCAUAAAGUACAUGUACAAAAAAUGUCGAUUCAGGGGAUUGACAGAGGAGGUGAAGAAUGAUCUAUUUAUGCUUACUAAUGCCACGACGCCCAAGAAGAAUCCUAGUUUCCUUCAGUUGUGGGACAUUAAUAAUGGUGUAAUAACCAAGUCGGUUCCUUAUAAGGAAACGUUAUCAGCUUUAGCUGUUUCUAGUGAUGGUAAAUUUGUGGCCGUUGGCACAAUGACCUCGGGUAGCGUCGACAUAUUCGUGGCGUUCAGUUUGAGAAAAGCUCUCCACGUUCCUGGAGCGCACAGGAUGUUUGUAACUGGUCUGGAAUUUCUUCCAACGGACGAUGAACUGAACGGUGUUGCGAUCACUAGUAACACGGAGACUGCGGUCGUUAGUAUCUCUGUAGACAACAGGAUCUGUAUACACAGCAUACCAUUCAGACAUACACUGCCAUUUUGGUUCGUCAUCUUGCUAAUAGUCUUGUGCAUAUGCGGCGCAUUCAUUUUCUGCAGUUACCUUGGUAUAUGACCUGAAAUGCGCGACCGAGACGAUAAAGCCAGACGUCAUAUUCUUUUAAUUAUCAUAUUAGAUCGAUUAUUGGCCGUGCGUACGAAAAAUUGAAAAUGAAUAACAGCUUGAAGUUAAACGCACGAUUUGUACGAGUAUGUAAAACGAUUUUCAGGAAAUGCGAUUUAGAUAUGAACGUGACGUCAGUCGAGGUGCUACUGUGAUAAACAAACCAUGUUAGAGUGCUUACAACAGAUUAGAACCGCACUAAUUAGCAUAUUGAUGUACAUAUAGAUUACAUUUUAUCACUUUUUAAUUGCGCAAAAACAAGGAUUUAAUAUGUGUCACAUAGCGAUUGUCUUUCUUUCGUGUGCGUAUAUAUUUAAAU